RNAcentral lists this ribosomal RNA (468 nucleotides) under uncultured bacterium. RNAcentral describes it as "partial 16S ribosomal RNA". It matches the Rfam family "Bacterial small subunit ribosomal RNA", at positions 28 to 507 of the family's 1533-position model. The record is from RNAcentral.
GACGAACGCUGGCGGCGUGCUUAACACAUGCAAGUCGAACGGAAAGGCCUUGCUUUUGUGGGGUGCUCGAGUGGCGAACGGGUGAGUAACACGUGAGUAACCUGCCCUUGACUUUGGGAUAACUUCAGGAAACUGGGGCUAAUACCGGAUAGGAGCUCCUGCUGCAUGGUGGGGGUUGGAAAGUUUCGGCGGUUGGGGAUGGACUCGCGGCUUAUCAGCUUGUUGGUGGGGUAGUGGCUUACCAAGGCUUUGACGGGUGGCCGGCCUGAGAGGGUGACCGGCCACAUUGGGACUGAGAUACGGCCCAGACUCCUACGGGAGGCAGCAGUGGGGAAUAUUGCACAAUGGGCGGAAGCCUGAUGCAGCAACGCCGCGUGCGGGAUGACGGCCUUCGGGUUGUAAACCGCUGUCGCCUGUGACGAAGCGUGAGUGACGGUAAUGGGUAAAGAAGCACCGGCUAACUACGUG